This 454-nucleotide ribosomal RNA is filed under the name uncultured bacterium. RNAcentral's name for it is "partial 16S ribosomal RNA". It matches the Rfam family "Bacterial small subunit ribosomal RNA", at positions 28 to 523 of the family's 1533-position model. The record is from RNAcentral.
GAUGAACGCUGGCGGCGUGCCUAAUACAUGCAAGUCGAGCGGUAACACUUCAGGUGACGAGCGGCGAACGGCUGAGUAACGCGUGAGAAUCUACCCCAAAGUGAGGGAUAAGCAUCGGAAACGGUGUCUAAUACCGCAUGUGGUCUUCGGAUUAAAGUUUUAUACGCUUUGGGAGGAGCUCGCGUACGAUUAGAUAGUUGGUGAGGUAAUGGCUCACCAAGUCGACGAUCGUUAGCUGGUCUGAGAGGAUGAUCAGCCAGACUGGAACUGAGACACGGUCCAGACUCCUACGGGAGGCAGCAGUAAGGAAUCUUCCACAAUGGGCGAAAGCCUGAUGGAGCAACGCCGCGUGCAGGACGAAGGCUUUCGGGUCGUAAACUGCUUUUGUUAGCGAAGAAUUUGACGGUAACUAACGAAUAAGGAUCGGCUAACUCCGUGCCAGCCGCCGCGGUAA